GAAAUGCGAUAAGUAAUGUGAAUUGCAGAAUUCAGUGAAUCAUCGAAUCUUUGAACGCAAAUUGCGCCCGCCAGCACUCUGGCGGGCAUGCCUGUUCGAGCGUCAUUUCAACCCUCAGAACCCCUUGCGGGAUCUGGCGUUGGGGAUUGGCAUCCAGCCAGCCCCGAAAUCUAGUGGCGGUCCCUCCGCGACCUCCCCUGUGCAGUAGCGAUACCUCGCAGCGGGACAGCGGUCUGACCACGCCGUAAAACCCCCAACUUCUCAAGGUUGACCUCGAAUCAGGUAGGAAUACCCGCUGAACUUAAGC
Molecule: unclassified non-coding RNA, 307 nt
Filed under: plant metagenome
Description: partial contains 5.8S ribosomal RNA, internal transcribed spacer 2, and large subunit ribosomal RNA
Rfam family: 5.8S ribosomal RNA (bases 1-105)
Source: RNAcentral